RNAcentral lists this ribosomal RNA (484 nucleotides) under uncultured bacterium. Its description in RNAcentral is "partial 16S ribosomal RNA". It matches the Rfam family "Bacterial small subunit ribosomal RNA", at positions 30 to 507 of the family's 1533-position model. The record is from RNAcentral.
AUUGAACGCUGGCGGCAGGCCUAACACAUGCAAGUCGAGCGGAUGAAGGGAGCUUGCUCCUGGAUUCAGCGGCGGACGGGUGAGUAAUGCCUAGGAAUCUGCCUGGUAGUGGGGGAUAACGUCCGGAAACGGGCGCUAAUACCGCAUACGUCCUGAGGGAGAAAGUGGGGGAUCUUCGGACCUCACGCUAUCAGAUGAGCCUAGGUCGGAUUAGCUAGUUGGUGGGGUAAAGGCCUACCAAGGCGACGAUCCGUAACUAGUCUGAGAGGAUGAUCAGUCACACUGGAACUGAGACACGGUCCAGACUCCUACGGGAGGCAGCAGUGGGGAAUAUUGGACAAUGGGCGAAAGCCUGAUCCAGCCAUGCCGCGUGUGUGAAGAAGGUCUUCGGAUUGUAAAGCACUUUAAGUUGGGAGGAAGGGCAGUAAGUUAAUACCUCGCUGUUUUGACGUUACCAACAGAAUAAGCACCGGCUAACUUCGUG